RNAcentral lists this ribosomal RNA (253 nucleotides) under uncultured bacterium. Its description in RNAcentral is "partial 16S ribosomal RNA". It matches the Rfam family "Bacterial small subunit ribosomal RNA", at positions 524 to 776 of the family's 1533-position model. The record is from RNAcentral.
UACGAAGGGGGCUAGCGUUGUUCGGAAUCACUGGGCGUAAAGGGCGCGUAGGCGGCUUUAUAAGUCGGGGGUGAAAGCCUGUGGCUCAACCACAGAAUUGCCUUCGAUACUGUAGAGCUUGAGACCGGAAGAGGUAAGUGGAACUGCGAGUGUAGAGGUGAAAUUCGUAGAUAUUCGCAAGAACACCAGUGGCGAAGGCGGCUUACUGGUCCGGUUCUGACGCUGAGGCGCGAAAGCGUGGGGAGCAAACGGG